AUAUACCAGUGGAAUCGGUACAGCUUCCAUCAUUACAGCUUGUUUUUUAACUCCCCCACGCAUAAUAAACCUAUGAACUCCAUUAACUGUAAUCGAUAUGCAUGCAAGGAUGUAAAGGCCUCUGCUUGGCCCUCUCACUGCCUCAAACAAGAAGCCAAAAUGAGUAUGACGCCAAGUCCCAUGCAAGUAAUCAGUAACAUGAGGCAAAAAUAAGGAAACUUUCCUUACAGUUGUAACAAGCAUGGAAUUCAACCCGGACGCCAUGAUGAAGAGAGUCAGGUAAAGAAGAGCUCUCCCAGUGCCUUGGAAAACCAUCCCUGGAGAGGAAUGGUGUAAGAUAAAUCAAUUGACAAUCCACUCAGAAUCUCUUUGACCUUCAAGGGUGUGGCACACAAAAAAGUGACAAAAAUUAUUAAUAAGAAAAUGUAAUGUACAAAAUUUAUGGGAAGAAGAAAGAAAAAGGCCCCAGAUUUUAUCAUUUGAAGCUGAUCUUCCAAGUACCUAUAUUGUGUCAUGUGGCGAUGAA
This is a long non-coding RNA of Marmota monax (woodchuck), 526 nucleotides long. RefSeq lists it as uncharacterized. Lineage: Eukaryota; Metazoa; Chordata; Mammalia; Rodentia; Sciuridae. The record is from RefSeq and is a predicted model, not a curated record. The transcript is spliced from 4 exons.